GGAAUUUUGGGCAAUGGCCGCAAGGCUGACCCAGCGACACCGCGUGCGGGAGGAAGCCCUUCGGGGUGUAAACCGCUGUCAGGGGGGAAGAAACCGGGGGUGGUGAACAGCCACACUCGCUGACGGUACCUCCAACGGAAGCGCCGGCCAACCCCGUGCCCGCAGCCGCGGUAAGACGGAGGCGGCAAGCGUUGUUCGGAAUUACUGGGCGUAAAGCGCGCGCAUGCGGAUGGACAAGUCGGGAGUGAAAGACCGGGGCUCAACUCCGGACCCGCUUUCGAGACUGUUCGUCUGGGGACCGGUAGGGGCGGGUGGAAUUCCCGGUGUAGCGGUGGAAUGCGUAGAGAUCGGGAAGAACACCGGUGGCGAAGGCGGCCCGCUGGGCCGGAUCCGACGCUGAGGCGCGAAAGCGUGGGGAGCAAAC
RNAcentral lists this ribosomal RNA (424 nucleotides) under uncultured bacterium. RNAcentral describes it as "bacterial SSU rRNA". It matches the Rfam family "Bacterial small subunit ribosomal RNA", at positions 358 to 773 of the family's 1533-position model. The record is from RNAcentral.